This 472-nucleotide ribosomal RNA is filed under the name uncultured bacterium. RNAcentral describes it as "partial 16S ribosomal RNA". It matches the Rfam family "Bacterial small subunit ribosomal RNA", at positions 28 to 507 of the family's 1533-position model. The record is from RNAcentral.
GACGAACGCUGGCGGCGUGCUUAACACAUGCAAGUCGAACGCUGAAGCUUGGUGCUUGCACUGGGUGGAUGAGUGGCGAACGGGUGAGUAAUACGUGAGUAACCUGCCCUUGACUCUGGGAUAAGCCUGGGAAACUGGGUCUAAUACUGGAUACGACAUGUCACCGCAUGGUGGUGUGUGGAAAGGGUUUUACUGGUUUUGGAUGGGCUCACGGCCUAUCAGCUUGUUGGUGGGGUAAUGGCUCACCAAGGCGACGACGGGUAGCCGGCCUGAGAGGGUGACCGGCCACACUGGGACUGAGACACGGCCCAGACUCCUACGGGAGGCAGCAGUGGGGAAUAUUGCACAAUGGGCGGAAGCCUGAUGCAGAGACGCCGCGUGAGGGAUGACGGCCUUCGGGUUGUAAACCUCUUUCAGCACGGAAGAAGCGAAAGUGACGGUACGUGCAGAAGAAGCGCCGGCUAACUACGUG